This 490-nucleotide ribosomal RNA is filed under the name uncultured bacterium. Its description in RNAcentral is "partial 16S ribosomal RNA". It matches the Rfam family "Bacterial small subunit ribosomal RNA", at positions 30 to 507 of the family's 1533-position model. The record is from RNAcentral.
AUUGAACGCUGGCGGCAGGCCUAACACAUGCAAGUCGAACGGUAACAGGAAGAAGCUUGCUUCUUUGCUGACGAGUGGCGGACGGGUGGGUAAUGUCUGGGAAACUGCCUGAUGGAGGGGGAUAACUACUGGAAACGGUAGCUAAUACCGCAUAACGUCGCAAGACCAAAGAGGGGGACCUUCGGGCCUCUUGCCAUCGGAUGUGCCCAGAUGGGAUUAGCUAGUAGGUGGGGUAACGGCUCACCUAGGCGACGAUCCCUAGCUGGUCUGAGAGGAUGACCAGCCACACUGGAACUGAGACACGGUCCAGACUCCUACGGGAGGCAGCAGUGGGGAAUAUUGCACAAUGGGCGAAAGCCUGAUGCAGCCAUGCCGCGUGUAUGAAGAAGGCCUUCGGGUUGUAAAGUACUUUCAGCGGGGAGGAAGGGAGUAAAGUUAAUACCUUUGCUCAUUGACGUUACCCGCAGAAGAAGCACCGGCUAACUCCGUG